AGUGAAGCGAUGAUAAGAAUUAGUAAAUAUGUCUUAAUAUUUAGAGAAAAAGUGGUUGGUGAAAACUUUUUAUUUGGCAUUUUGAAGCUGUCUUUGAGCUAUUUGUUAAUAUAAGUGGCACAUAUGUGUAAUUAGGGUGGUACCGCGGAAAUUUGGCUUUCGUCCCUUCG
Molecule: non-coding RNA, 170 nt
Filed under: Clostridium sp.
Lineage: Bacteria; Bacillati; Bacillota; Clostridia; Eubacteriales; Clostridiaceae
Description: T-box sequence
Rfam family: T-box leader
About the family: Uncharged tRNA acts as the effector for transcription antitermination of genes in the T-box leader family.
Source: RNAcentral